RNAcentral lists this ribosomal RNA (201 nucleotides) under uncultured bacterium. RNAcentral describes it as "partial 16S ribosomal RNA". It matches the Rfam family "Bacterial small subunit ribosomal RNA", at positions 1292 to 1500 of the family's 1533-position model. The record is from RNAcentral.
UUCGGAUCGGAGUCUGNAACCCGACUCCGUGAAGCUGGAUUCGCUAGUAAUCGCGCAUCAGCCAUGGCGCGGUGAAUACGUUCCCGGGCCUUGUACACACCGCCCGUCAAGCCAUGGAAGCCGGGGGUGCCUGAAGUGUGCAGCCGCAAGGAGCGCCCUAAGGUAAAACCGGUGACUGGGGCUAAGUCGUAACAAGGUACC